AAGGCCAAGUCCAGAUCUUGAGUGAGUACAAAUCCACGAGGAAGCAGAGAUGAGCAAGGCUCAACAAUUCAUUUGGACCUUGACUGAUUUUUUUCAAGCUUCCCUUGAAAUGGCAGCAGAGGGACUAACAAGAACAUGAGCUGCAAGGAUAAAGAGACAGCAAAGGAGAAGAGAACAAUAAAAUCUCAGACCUGGGGAGCACAGGGAACAGCUGAACCGACUGAGGAGACCGGGGAGAUGAAAACUGGGCGUUGCAGGAAGGUUCCCCAAACCCCGAGGUCUUCAGUACAAAAUGUGAGGCUGCAGAAUUGGGGGCCCAGGUACUUCUACGUGUGGGUGCGCAAGUGACGCUGGAAACUGGAAGGCUGCCUGAGAGUCUGCGCCAGAAGCUCUGGAUCCUCAGAUUCCCUCCCUCGUACAACCGGAGCAACUGGGCGACUUUGCUCUACAAAGAAGCGGAGCAACGCCUUCCGAAUUCUCAGCGAAGGAGUUCCCAUCCUGGUGGAGUGGAAACGAAUCCAGCAAGGAUCCAUGAGGAACCAUUUCAACUCCCUAUUUGGUUGGCCUUCUUUGAGAUUCUCUCCAGAUCCACGGCCCUUCCACCCCGAGUCCCUGCAUCCAGAGCGGCAGCGAGUGCCUCUCUAAAGAGAAAGCUCUCUCCGCCACAUCUUUCUUGAGAACAAAUUUGCUCCAUUCCUAUCUUCUUGGCGGUGUCUGGCCCUGACAGAGAGAAGCUACCGCUCAGCAUCAGAAAUAGUUUUGGUGCCAAUGUCCUAAUGACACAGGGAUGGCAGCCUUCACGGAGGAAAAAAGACGAAUGUCAAUUAGCACAUACUCUUGAACACGCGCCAGCAACGUCUCAAAGCAAAAGCCAGUAGCCAUGGAUCAAGAGUUCCUCCAGCACACUUUUCUUCCUUUGUUUUGUCUUCUUUUAAAUUAGCCAACCUAAAUAUAUAUAAAUAGGAGCUCAGACACCUCUCACACCCCUCCUCCCUCCCCCCCAUCAAUGAGUGGUCCCUCUGGAACUCAGGACCUCAGAACUCGGACAUUCUCAAAGCCAGGGUGGCCUCCAACGUCGCAGAGUUACUUAAUGAUCUUUAAAUGCUAUUGGCCCAGCCGUAAUUCCUCAUCCCUGGCCUGAACUCUUUCCUCUCCCCUCCCCUGCACAGAAGAGCCAUGCCUCAGUGGUUUCUCCUGGGAGUUUGCUGGUCUUCAGUUCUGCCAUGGAAGGAAUGCCAUUUGGACCCCACCCCACCCCCCAGGACCUCCGAGGUCCUGGCCGCGGCCACCAAAGUGGGCAUCCUUGCUUGUGCUCCCCAGUGCCCUGUGCGUCUCUCUCCCCCAAGCUUCUUGUAGAGAUACUUUCCUGCCUGGGGGAGACGGGGCAAGCCCUGUUGGUUGUCAUGGGAACCAAGGUUAACUGGGCACCCUGGAUUUCAGUUCUGAUGUUGGCAGCAUGCCUCAGCAAGGGUCUUCAGCACAGCUCCCCCAGGUGACACAACUUUCUCAAAUGUAGAAUGCUGAUCAGCUGCCCGACUCCACCCGGCACUUCCUUCCCCGUGUGUGGUCUUAGGCUUUUCUCUAGUGUGGUGCAAACCCUGCAGGAGUGGGGUGUAGCCCCCUCUUCUACCUAAGGCAGGAUCGAGUAAACCAAGGG
RNAcentral lists this long non-coding RNA (1657 nucleotides) under Sus scrofa (pig). RNAcentral's name for it is "lncRNA (ENSSSCG00050038277.1)". Lineage: Eukaryota; Metazoa; Chordata; Mammalia; Artiodactyla; Suidae. The record is from RNAcentral.